AAAAAAAAUACUUUGAUAAUUAAACAUGUAUCAGAUAUAAACAUAAUUAGAUAAAUGAAAUAUUUUAUACAAUCUGGUUUUGAUGUCUUAAACCGAAUCAAAUGAAUUAUAUAUCAAAAGUUCAUACUUUUUUUAUUUUCAAAUAAAACCAAAUAAUUUAGAGGGUAAAUCAAAUUAAACUCUUAAAAUUAAUUUGAUUUUAUUUUUUGGAUUCGUAAUCUAAAUCAAAUAGUGGACUUAUGUAACAUUAGAGGGAAAGAGAUAGACCUUUUUGUCCAGAUAUUGUUCCUCCGGUUGUCCCAUGCUUUGAAGUUUC
RNAcentral lists this unclassified non-coding RNA (316 nucleotides) under Hevea brasiliensis (rubber tree). The record is from RNAcentral. Lineage: Eukaryota; Viridiplantae; Streptophyta; Magnoliopsida; Malpighiales; Euphorbiaceae.